RNAcentral lists this ribosomal RNA (468 nucleotides) under uncultured bacterium. RNAcentral describes it as "partial 16S ribosomal RNA". It matches the Rfam family "Bacterial small subunit ribosomal RNA", at positions 28 to 507 of the family's 1533-position model. The record is from RNAcentral.
GACGAACGCUGGCGGCGUGCUUAACACAUGCAAGUCGAACGGAAAGGCCCUGCUUUUGUGGGGUGCUCGAGUGGCGAACGGGUGAGUAACACGUGAGUAACCUGCCCUUGACUUUGGGAUAACUUCAGGAAACUGGGGCUAAUACCGGAUAGGAGCUCCUGCUGCAUGGAGGGGGUUGGAAAGUUUCGGCGGGUGGGGAUGGACUCGCGGCUUAUCAGCUUGUUGGUGGGGGAGUGGCUUACCAAGGCUUUGACGGGUAGCCGGCCUGGGAGGGUGAACGGCCACAUUGGGACUGAGGUACGGCCCAGACUCCUACGGGAGGCAGCAGUGGGGAAUAUUGCACAAUGGGCGGAAGCCUGAUGCAGCAACGCCGCGUGCGGGAUGACGGCCUUCGGGUUGUAAACCGCUUUCGCCUGUGACGAAGCGUGAGUGACGGUAAUGGGUAAAGAAGCACCGGCUAACUACGUG